GCAAAGGGAUGCCUUAGUAGCGGCGAGUGAAGCGGCAAAAGCUCAAAUUUGAAAUCUGGCUCUUUCAGAGUCCGAGUUGUAAUUUGAAGAAGGUAUCUUUGGGUCUGGCUCUUGUCUAUGUUUCUUGGAACAGAACGUCACAGAGGGUGAGAAUCCCGUGCGAUGAGAUGAUCCAGGCCUAUGUAAAGUUCCUUCGAAGAGUCGAGUUGUUUGGGAAUGCAGCUCUAAGUGGGUGGUAAAUUCCAUCUAAAGCUAAAUAUUGGCGAGAGACCGAUAGCGAACAAGUACAGUGAUGGAAAGAUGAAAAGAACUUUGAAAAGAGAGUGAAAAAGUACGUGAAAUUGUUGAAAGGGAAGGGCUUGAGAUCAGACUUGGUAUUUUGUAUGUUACUUCUUCGGGGGUGGCCUCUACAGUUUAUCGGGCCAGCAUCAGUUUGGGCGGUAGGAGAAUUGCGUUGGAAUGUGGCACGACUUCGGUUGUGUGUUAUAGCCUUCGUCGAUACUGCCAGCCUAGACUGAGGACUGCGGUUUAUACCUAGGAUGUUGGCAUAAUGAUCUUAAGUCGCCCGUCUGAAAAAACGGAACAAAAAAA
This 591-nucleotide ribosomal RNA is filed under the name Candida tropicalis. RNAcentral describes it as "partial large subunit ribosomal RNA". It matches the Rfam family "Eukaryotic large subunit ribosomal RNA", at positions 67 to 664 of the family's 3401-position model. Lineage: Eukaryota; Fungi; Ascomycota; Pichiomycetes; Serinales; Debaryomycetaceae. The record is from RNAcentral.